This 400-nucleotide ribosomal RNA is filed under the name uncultured bacterium. RNAcentral's name for it is "bacterial SSU rRNA". It matches the Rfam family "Bacterial small subunit ribosomal RNA", at positions 358 to 775 of the family's 1533-position model. The record is from RNAcentral.
GGAAUAUUGCACAAUGGGGGAAACCCUGAUGCAGCGACGCCGCGUGAGUGAGGAAGUAUUUCGGUAUGUAAAGCUCUAUCAGCAGGGAAGAAAAUGACGGUACCUGACUAAGAAGCCCCGGCUAAUUACGUGCCAGCAGCCGCGGUAAUACGUAGGGGGCGAGCGUUGUCCGGAAUGACUGGGCGUAAAGGGAGUGUAGGCGGCUCUUUAAGUUAUAUGUGAAAUCCCGCGGCUUAACCGUGGAAGUGCAUAUAAAACUGGGGAGCUGGAGUGCAGGAGAGGUGAGUGGAAUUCCUAGUGUAGCGGUGGAAUGCGUAGAUAUUAGGAAGAACACCGGUGGCGAAGGCGGCUCACUGGACUGUAACUGACGCUGAGGCUCGAAAGCGUGGGGAGCAAACAG